RNAcentral lists this ribosomal RNA (264 nucleotides) under uncultured archaeon. RNAcentral's name for it is "partial 16S ribosomal RNA". It matches the Rfam family "Archaeal small subunit ribosomal RNA", at positions 717 to 982 of the family's 1478-position model. The record is from RNAcentral.
AGACGUCUACAUUAGAUACCCGGGUAGUCCCAGCCGUAAACUAUGCGCGUUAGGUGUAUCGGUGACCACGAGUCACCGAGGUGCCGAAGGGAAACCGUGAAACGUGCCGCCUGGGAAGUACGGUCGCAAGGCUGAAACUUAAAGGAAUUGGCGGGGAGCACCACAACGGGUGGAGCCUGCGGUUUAAUUGGACUCAACGCCGGGAAGCUCACCGGAUAAGACAGCGGAAUGAUUGCCGGGCUGAAGACUCAGCAUGACUAGCUG